UCAGUGCUUGAUGCAGCAACUAAAGGGAAUCGAUAUAUAAAUUCGUGUCUCAAAUUGAAUGAGGAAAUGAAGAUCGUAAACACGGGAAAUCAUUAAACAACCAUGGUAGAACUUGAAUUGUGAUGUUGAUUCUGAACUGUUAAUGGUUGUUGCUGAGGGUUACAUUUGUGAAAAUUGAUGAUGAUGUUGGUGACGCUGAAAGUCACAGGAAAUCAGUGAGAUCUCUCUUUGUUUUGCGUAUUCAUGAAAUUGGACAACAAAAGAGCAUACAACUAUGUGUUAUUGCUUAGAAUUUUCAAAUUAUUUGUCCCAGACUUCCUAGGAUUAGUAGAUGUGUAUGAAAUAUUAAUUUCUUUCAUGCGUGUAUUUAUAGGACAAGUGGUCUUCGGCUUAUGAUUGUAGAACUAGUCUUCUGUCUAUUCAAAGUCUAUUGGAAGAGCCUAACCUGGAGAGUCCUCUAAAUAGCUACGCUGCAUAGCUUUGGAAUGAUAAGGAAGAGAAUGAUAGUAGCGAUGAUGAAGAUGUGACUUUUUUAAGCCUAUAGAAGAAGUGAAAAAAGUGUAUGCUUGGAGAAGGUUAAUGUCGGAGAUGUACUUCAUAUCUUGCCUUGCCUUCAUCAGACAAUGUGGAUCUUGGAACUGCUUGCAAAAAGUACUACAGAGUGUGAUGUCUCAGCAUAUCUUGGCGCGUGCGGCUGCUAAUUGUGAGAAACCAAAGUCUGGAACAAAGUAUCAAUAUGCAGAGUUCAAAACAACAGGUUAAUUCUAAGUUAGGUGUCAUUGAUCGGGUCCAGGGGAGGUUCGAUUCGAUUGAGGCAUCUGUUUGAAUGAUUGAGCGGAUUCUCAGUUCGUCGCAGCUCCUUCACCCAUCAGAUAGCGUAGCUUUGAAUCUGAUUUAUAUCGCGUCAAGUAAUAUGUAUUCUGAGACUGAAUGUUUCUAUCGAUGUUUCUAGCCUGCUUUGAAUCAAUGCUGCAACAUUCACGACAGCAAGGCAGU
Vicia villosa (hairy vetch) is the source of this 996-nucleotide long non-coding RNA. RefSeq lists it as uncharacterized. The record is from RefSeq and is a predicted model, not a curated record. The transcript has 7 exons. Lineage: Eukaryota; Viridiplantae; Streptophyta; Magnoliopsida; Fabales; Fabaceae.